GGGAACGUGAGCUGGGUUUAGACCGUCGUG
Molecule: non-coding RNA, 30 nt
Filed under: Bombyx mori (domestic silkworm)
Lineage: Eukaryota; Metazoa; Arthropoda; Insecta; Lepidoptera; Bombycidae
Also listed under: 3 other names
Source: RNAcentral